This 440-nucleotide ribosomal RNA is filed under the name uncultured bacterium. RNAcentral's name for it is "bacterial SSU rRNA". It matches the Rfam family "Bacterial small subunit ribosomal RNA", at positions 338 to 795 of the family's 1533-position model. The record is from RNAcentral.
CCUAUGGGUGGCAGCAGUGGGGAAUAUUGGACAAUGGGCGAAAGCCUGAUCCAGCAAUGCCGCGUGUGUGAAGAAGGUCUUCGGAUUGUAAAGCACUUUCGUCGGGGACGAUGAUGACGGUACCCGUAGAAGAAGCCCCGGCUAACUUCGUGCCAGCAGCCGCGGUAAUACGAAGGGGGCUAGUGUUGCUCGGAAUGACUGGGCGUAAAGGGCGCGUAGGCGGUUUAUGCAGUCAGAUGUGGAAUCCCCGGGCUUAACCUGGGAACUGCAUUUGAAACGCAUAGACUAGAGGUCGAGAGAGGGUUGUGGAAUUCCCAGUGUAGAGGUGAAAUUCGUAGAUAUUGGGAAGAACACCGGUGGCGAAGGCGGCAGCCUGGCUCGAUACUGACGCUGAGGCGCGAAAGCGUGGGGAGCAAACAGGAUUAGAUACCCCCGUAGUC